This 607-nucleotide ribosomal RNA is filed under the name Microbotryum flosculorum. Its description in RNAcentral is "partial large subunit ribosomal RNA". It matches the Rfam family "Eukaryotic large subunit ribosomal RNA", at positions 64 to 668 of the family's 3401-position model. The record is from RNAcentral. Lineage: Eukaryota; Fungi; Basidiomycota; Microbotryomycetes; Microbotryales; Microbotryaceae.
ACUAACAAGGAUUCCCCUAGUAACGGCGAGUGAAGCGGGAAAAGCUCAAAUUUGUAAUCUGGCGCCUUCGGCGUCCGAGUUGUAAUCUCGAGAAGUAUUUUCCGCGCUGGACCGCACAUAAGUCUGUUGGAAUACAGCGUCAUAGUGGUGAGAACCCCGUAUAUGGUGCGGAUGCCCAGUGCUUUGUGAUAUACUUUCGAAGAGUCGAGUUGUUUGGGAAUGCAGCUCAAAUUGGGUGGUAAAUUCCAUCUAAAGCUAAAUAUUGGCGAGAGACCGAUAGCGAACAAGUACCGUGAGGGAAAGAUGAAAAGCACUUUGGAAAGAGAGUUAACAGUACGUGAAAUUGUUGGAAGGGAAACGCUUGAAGUCAGACUUGCAUUUUGGAGUUCAGCCGCAAGGUGUAUUCUUCGAUUCGCAGGCCAGCAUCAGUUUUCGGGGGUGGAAAAUCGCGGUUUGAAGGUAGCAGUCUCGGCUGUGUUAUAGCUUUCCGCUGGAUUCACUUUUGGGGACUGAGGAACGCAGUACGCUUUUUGCAAGAUUCUAGAGUCUUUCGUACUUAGGAUGCUGGUGGAAUGGCUUUAAACGACCCGUCUUGAAACACGGACCA